CACACGCACGCGCACACACACACACACACACACACACACACACACACACUCACCGUACACUCCCUGGCAGCGGACGCCCUCCACGAUCAGCGCCAGCAGCCCCAAAACACAGACGAUUAGAUCCAUCCUGUCACGUUAGUCUCUUGCUGCAUAUCCCUCCUCUCGGUGGCAAGAAGGUCCUUUCCGGGGCGGCGCGCGUCGAUCGAUUCGGUGUCAAGAGGCGGCUGCGAAGGUAUGCGCGGUCCGCGGGACGCGCGGACUGUCGUUUAGAUGUCCGCGUCCAUGCAGUCAGUCAGGACGUGGAAGAUGCGGGAGAGAGAGAGAGUGGGGGGAGAGGGGGGGGGGGCUAAUAAGCGCCCCGGCCUCUGGAACAGACAGCGACGUCUCCUCGACGCGUCCGACCCCGUUGGACUUCAGCGGAGACCCGCGAGGCAGCGGGCCGAGGGGGCGCACUGGUGCUGUCGGCUGCCGGCGGACGGAGGCUCGAUGCCCGCGGGCAUGCCGCGCCUUUGCCGAAUCCGGCUGUGGUCACGGCUCGCUCCGCGGAUGCAGCUGCUGCUCCGCUGACUGCAUGCUGUCCAAAACCGCCUCGCGCCCCUCAACAACAACAAAAACAACAACAACAAAAAAACGCACAGAUUUUCACCUCGUCCGGUGGUCGUCGCGCUCACACACACACACACACAGUCACAUCACGGCUGCACCCCGACGCCGCGCGCGCUCCGCUCCGUCUCUCCCGGCGUGGCGGUGACAAACGGAUGGGGGGGGGGGGACUGGUGUCCAGUCCUCGGCGUUAGGAGACUACACUUUUCUAGUGCAUUCACGGUGGGAGCCGGAUGUGGCCGCCCUGCGAAGCCAGUCGAGCGUCAGUCACGUCGCGCGCGCGCGGGCGAGUGUGGCACCGCGGCCCCGGUCCGUGGCUACGUCAAGAGGCGCGUGGCGUCCUGCGCUCAUCAGUAUGGGAGGCUUCGCCCAGCGGUCGGGAAAGGCAGGAGAGGCGCAGCUGCUGGAAGCAGAGAC
Long non-coding RNA from Gasterosteus aculeatus aculeatus (three-spined stickleback), 1020 nucleotides. Lineage: Eukaryota; Metazoa; Chordata; Actinopteri; Perciformes; Gasterosteidae. The record is from Ensembl.